This 338-nucleotide long non-coding RNA is filed under the name Carica papaya (papaya). Its description in RNAcentral is "long non-coding RNA (CPAP_LNC006984)". The record is from RNAcentral. Lineage: Eukaryota; Viridiplantae; Streptophyta; Magnoliopsida; Brassicales; Caricaceae.
GGCCCUAGGAUUGUUUUAUCGCAGGAACCAAUGCAAGUUUGGCCGAAUUCGAUCGAAAACGGCCAACCCGAGGUGGAUCGCCGCCGCGGGUGGCGAUGGCGUCGCCGGAGCACGACGGAGCCGCCGUGCCGGAAUUUUGAUAUUGGAUAAAAAGGGGCCCUGGGUCUGAUUUGAGAUUUUUUGAGACACGUGCAGGUUCCAGUAGUGCGUUUUAGUUUCCUGAGAAAAAUUCAGAGAAUUUAGGGACAGCCCGUAGGCACACUGUAGAGCCGAUUUCAGACCCCGAAAUAAAUAAGGAUCUCUCACCCUAUUUCCUAUCACAGCAUUAAAGGUUAAUA